GACGAACGCUGGCGGCGUGCUUAACACAUGCAAGUCGAACGGAAAGGCCCUGCUUUUGUGGGGUGCUCGAGUGGCGAACGGGUGAGUAACACGUGAGUAACCUGCCCUUGACUUUGGGAUAACUUCAGGAAACUGGGGCUAGUACCGGCUAGGAGCUCCUGCUGCAUGGUGGGGGUUGGAAAGUUUCGGCGGUUGGGGAUGGACUCGCGGCUUAUCAGCUUGUUGGUGGGGUAGUGGCUUACCAAGGCUUUGACGGGUAGCCGGCCUGAGAGGGUGACCGGCCACAUUGGGACUGAGAUACGGCCCAGACGCCAACGGGAGGCAGCAGUGGGGAAUAUUGCACAAUGGGCGGAAGCCUGAUGCAGCAACGCCGCGUGCGGGAUGACGGCCUUCGGGUUGUAAACCGCUUUCGCCUGUGACGAAGCGUGAGUGACGGUAAUGGGUAAAGAAGCACCGGCUAACUACGUG
RNAcentral lists this ribosomal RNA (468 nucleotides) under uncultured bacterium. RNAcentral describes it as "partial 16S ribosomal RNA". It matches the Rfam family "Bacterial small subunit ribosomal RNA", at positions 28 to 507 of the family's 1533-position model. The record is from RNAcentral.